GUAGGGCGCAAGCGUUAUCCGGAAUUAUUGGGCGUAAAGAGCUUGUAGGCGGUUCGUCGCGUCUGGUGUGAAAGCCCAUCGCUUAACGGUGGGUCUGCGCCGGGUACGGGCGGGCUAGAGUGCAGUAGGGGAGACUGGAAUUCCCGGUGUAACGGUGGAAUGUGUAGAUAUCGGGAAGAACACCAAUGGCGAAGGCAGGUCUCUGGGCUGUUACUGACGCUGAGGAGCGAAAGCGUGGGGAGCGAACAGGAUUAGAUACCCUGGUAGUCCACGCCGUAGACGGUGGACGCUGGAUGUGGGGCCCAUUCCACGGGUUCCGUGUCGGAGCUAACGCGUUAAGCGUCCCGCCUGGGGAGU
This 357-nucleotide ribosomal RNA is filed under the name uncultured bacterium. Its description in RNAcentral is "bacterial SSU rRNA". It matches the Rfam family "Bacterial small subunit ribosomal RNA", at positions 527 to 881 of the family's 1533-position model. The record is from RNAcentral.